CUAAAACUCUAACCAGUGGAAAAGGUACUUGUGUGGAUCCUCUGAACCCUGAGUGGAACUUCCUGAAAGAUUUAUUUGGAGAAAAAUCUUGGAAGCAGCAGAAGGACAAACAGAAUGGCUGGCUGGGCAAAGCCUCGUGGCCCGGUCUCCACAACUGGAGGGCAGUUACAUCUUAGAGAAUCCCAUCAUACCUUGGAUUUUGGUGCUAUCAGUCUGAAAAGCAGACGUACCUGUCUGGUACUCUAG
Molecule: long non-coding RNA, 246 nt
Filed under: Neogale vison (American mink)
Lineage: Eukaryota; Metazoa; Chordata; Mammalia; Carnivora; Mustelidae
Description: Neovison vison (American mink) lncRNA (ENSNVIG00000008813.1)
Source: RNAcentral